AGACUCCUACGGGAGGCAGCAGUGGGGAAUAUUGCACAAUGGGCGCAAGCCUGAUGCAGCAACGCCGCGUGUGUGAAGAAGGCCUGCGGGUUGUAAAGCACUUUUAUUAGGAAAGAAAAACCCGGAACUAAUACUUCCGGCAUUGACGGUACCUAAAGAAUAAGCACCGGCUAACUCAGUGCCAGCAGCCGCGGUAAUACUGAGGGUGCAAGCGUUAAUCGGAAUUACUGGGCGUAAAGCGAGUGUAGGCGGUUACCUAAGUCGGAUGUGAAAGCCCUGGGCUCAACCUGGGAAUGGCAUUCGAUACUGGGUAACUAGAGUUUGGUAGAGGUAAGUGGAAUUCCGGAUGUAGCGGUGAAAUGCGUAGAUAUCCGGAGGAACAUCAGUGGCGAAGGCGGCCUACUGGACCAAUACUGACGCUGAGGCGCGAAGGCGUGGGGAGCAAACAGGAUUAGAUACCCUGGUAGUCCACGCAGUAAACGGUGAUCACUAGGUGUAGCGGGUAUUGACCCCUGCUGUGCCGCAGCAAACGCAUUAAGUGAUCCGCCUGGGGAGUACGACCGCAAGGUUAAAACUCAAGGAAUUGACGGGGGCCCGCACAAGCGG
RNAcentral lists this ribosomal RNA (606 nucleotides) under uncultured bacterium. RNAcentral's name for it is "bacterial SSU rRNA". It matches the Rfam family "Bacterial small subunit ribosomal RNA", at positions 333 to 932 of the family's 1533-position model. The record is from RNAcentral.